AACAUGGCAGACGUUGACAACAAAGAACAGUGUGAACUUGAUCAAGAUUUGGAUGAUGUUGAAGAAGUAGAAGAAGAAGAAACUGGUGAAGAAACAAAAAUCAAAGCGCGUCAGCUGACUGUUCAGAUGAUGCAAAAUCCUCAGAUUCUUGCAGCCCUUCAAGAAAGACUGGAUGGUCUGGUAGAAACACCAACAGGAUACAUUGAAAGCUGGCCUAGGGUAGUUAAAAUGCUCUGAAAAAUCUUCAAGUUAAAUGUGCACAGAUAAAGCCAAAUUCUAUAAGGAAGUUCAUGAUCUUGAAAGGAAGUAUGCUCUUCUCUGUCAACCUCUAUUUGACAAGCGAUUUGAGAUUAUUAAAGCGAUUUACGAACCUUCGGAAGAAGAAUGUGAAUGGAAAACAGAUGAAGAAGAUGAAAUUUCGGAGCUGAAAGAAAAGGCCAAGAUUGAAGAUGGAAAAAAAGAUGAAUAAAAAGAAGCUCCCAAGGGAACUCCUGAAUUUUGGUUGACUGUUUUUAAGAAUGUUGACUUGCUCAGUGAUAUGGUUCAGGAACACAAUGAACCUAUUCUGAAGCGCUUGAAAGAUAUUAAAGUCAAAUUCUCAGAUGCUGGCCAGCCUGAGUUUUGUCUUAGAAUUUCACUUUGAACCCAAUGAAUAUUUCACAAAUGAAGUUAUGACAAAGACAUAUAGGAUGAGGUCAGAACCAGAUGAUUCUGAUCCCUUUUCUUUUGAUGGACCAGAAAUUAUGGGUUGUACAGGGUGCCGGAUAGAUUGGAAAAAAGGAAAGAAUGUCACUUUGAAAACCAUUAAGAAGAAGCAGAAACAUAAGGGACGUGGGACAGUUCGUACUGUGACUAAAACUGUUUCCAAUGACUCCUUCUUUAAUUUUUUUGCACCUCCUGAAGUUCCUGAAAGUGGAGAUCUGGACGAUGAUGCUGCUUCUCUGAUUGUAGAACUAGGGAGAAGGCCCCAAGCCUGUGGUGUAUACUAA
This is an RNA transcript of Nycticebus coucang (slow loris), 989 nucleotides long. It is a transcript of the gene named nucleosome assembly protein 1-like 1, with no coding region annotated. Lineage: Eukaryota; Metazoa; Chordata; Mammalia; Primates; Lorisidae. The transcript has a single exon. The record is from RefSeq and is a predicted model, not a curated record.